Molecule: ribosomal RNA, 696 nt
Filed under: uncultured Bacillus sp.
Lineage: Bacteria; Bacillati; Bacillota; Bacilli; Caryophanales; Bacillaceae
Description: bacterial SSU rRNA
Rfam family: Bacterial small subunit ribosomal RNA
Source: RNAcentral
ACGCUGGCGGCGUGCCUAAUACAUGCAAGUCGAGCGGACCGACGGGAGCUUGCUCCUUAGGUCAGCGGCGGACGGGUGAGUAACACGUGGGUAACCUGCCUGUAAGACUGGGAUAACUCCGGGAAACCGGGGCUAAUACCGGAUGCUUGAUUGAACCGCAUGGUUCAAUCAUAAAAGGUGGCUUUUAGCUACCACUUACAGAUGGACCCGCGGCGCAUUAGCUAGUUGGUGAGGUAACGGCUCACCAAGGCGACGAUGCGUAGCCGACCUGAGAGGGUGAUCGGCCACACUGGGACUGAGACACGGCCCAGACUCCUACGGGAGGCAGCAGUAGGGAAUCUUCCGCAAUGGACGAAAGUCUGACGGAGCAACGCCGCGUGAGUGAUGAAGGUUUUCGGAUCGUAAAACUCUGUUGUUAGGGAAGAACAAGUACCGUUCGAAUAGGGCGGCACCUUGACGGUACCUAACCAGAAAGCCACGGCUAACUACGUGCCAGCAGCCGCGGUAAUACGUAGGUGGCAAGCGUUGUCCGGAAUUAUUGGGCGUAAAGCGCGCGCAGGCGGUUUCUUAAGUCUGAUGUGAAAGCCCCCGGCUCAACCGGGGAGGGUCAUUGGAAACUGGGGAACUUGAGUGCAGAAGAGGAGAGUGGAAUUCCACGUGUAGCGGUGAAAUGCGUAGAGAUGUGGAGGAACACCA